CCCCAGGCGCUGGGGAACUCUACUGCAGCUGCGCGGCCUGGCCCAGCCGGUGCGCCUCCUACUGCGACUGCGCAGCCUUGGUGCACGCCCUCUUCGCUCCUCCCAAAGGCUCCGCCUUCCGGCCGCUUCCUGCCCGGCGUGUUUGCGGCUCUCUG
This 155-nucleotide small RNA is filed under the name Dasypus novemcinctus (nine-banded armadillo). RNAcentral's name for it is "TTC28 antisense RNA 1 conserved region 1 (ENSDNOG00000047537.1)". Lineage: Eukaryota; Metazoa; Chordata; Mammalia; Cingulata; Dasypodidae. The record is from RNAcentral.